GUUGUAGCUCAAUCUAUUCUUUACUUAAUGUAAUUCUGUUUGGCUCUUACAGUUGAAGAAUUGUAAAUGGAAAUAGGAAUUUAAACUUCAUCUCCUUCUAACUUCACUUGACUGAGAAAGGAAUUAAAUUGGUUCAAAGUAAUGCUGAUCAUCUGAUAUCUUUGACCUUUCCACAUAUCCUGCAUGGAAGGAGGAGGAAGAAAUAUUGGAACAGGUAUUGUGAAAAUGAACAUUGACAAUAGAAGACUUGCAAAAUAAUUCUGCAGUAUUGACUCAGAGUAGCGCAAAUCCAAAGGUGCAGGUAUUUUAAAGGCUCAUCCUUUGGACUCAUCCCUUCCCAUGGCUUCUGCAACAAGGCUGCACCACCUGUCC
RNAcentral lists this long non-coding RNA (372 nucleotides) under Callithrix jacchus (white-tufted-ear marmoset). RNAcentral describes it as "lncRNA (ENSCJAG00000060769.2)". Lineage: Eukaryota; Metazoa; Chordata; Mammalia; Primates; Cebidae. The record is from RNAcentral.